GUGUUGUAUGAAAGGAGAGAAGGUUAACACUCCUCUUGACAAGGAUGGGAGAAACUCUAGAGCCUGACAACAUGCAUACGGUUAAGGCAUUGCCACCUACUUCAUGGCAUCUAACCACUGUUCAUG
This 126-nucleotide non-coding RNA is filed under the name Moschus moschiferus (Siberian musk deer). The record is from RNAcentral. Lineage: Eukaryota; Metazoa; Chordata; Mammalia; Artiodactyla; Moschidae.